This 2258-nucleotide long non-coding RNA is filed under the name Solanum lycopersicum (tomato). Its description in RNAcentral is "long non-coding RNA (SLYC_LNC000519)". The record is from RNAcentral. Lineage: Eukaryota; Viridiplantae; Streptophyta; Magnoliopsida; Solanales; Solanaceae.
CUGAAUUAAAACAUCAAUAAAAGUCUAAUAUUGUAAAAUACUGCGGAAAACAAGGUCAUAAUUAAACCCUUAAAACCUGGUUGUCACGUGUAAAAGCCUCUAAAGUAUUACAACUGAAUCAAAAGAAAAAUACAAGUCUCACAUGACAUUGUUUCUAGAGUAGAACAAGAUCAUAAAUAGGAGUAAGAAGGUCUACCAAAUGACAAGUAACUAAUCUCACAAACCUCCAUAAGAAGCCUCAGACAAGGAGAAGAGAAAAUAUCACAAAGGUGUUCAUGCUAAUAACCUGCAAAAAAUUGUAGAAGUAAGGGAUGAGUACCAAACCACACGGUAAUCAACAAGUAAACCUCCAAAAACAAGUUAAGGGGAUAAAUACGGGUACUCCUUACACCUCAACCGAACCUCUACAACUACAACCUGCAUAAAAUCAGCCCAACCUAAUAGUUCACCAUUUACAAGCACAUAUCUCACAACAACAUUCUAACAAUCACAUAUACUCAACAACAAGCUCAAUAUUCAUCAAUUAUAACCUCCACAAAAAGACACUCACAAUAUCAGCAAUACAUACGAUCAAGUUCAUCAAAUAGAGAUAACCAAAUAUCAAGUACUUUUCAACCACCAAUAAAAUACAUUAUCAUCAAGACUGAAGGAUGUCAGGGGAUACAAUGCAAUAUGACACCAUGAAAUGAUAUGCCUCAAAAUACCAAGUACUCGCUUAACCUUGUAUACAUGAUACUCCUCAGGAAUACAUUGAGAGUUCAUGACCCAUGAGGGACUCAAGAGGUCCAUAUAUCGGCACGGAUGAUCUCCACGUGUCUGUGCGGACGAUCUCAACACACUAUCAUAAAAUAAAACAAUUCCCAGCACAGACGAUCUCCACGUGCCCAACUUAUAAUCAUAGACAAUUUCCUCGCAUGGAUGAUCUCCACGUGCCCAAAUUAUAAUCACACUCGAUCUCAACAUGGACGAUCUCUACGGGUUAGACCUUUUACUUAUACUCAAUCUCAUGUCAAUGCAUGUGCACAAUAUGAUAUCAAAUAAAGAGGAGAUGCAAUAUCUCAAUAAAUUAAAUGUCGUUAUGACAUAUAAUCACCUCAAUUAUCACAAUGCUAUGGGUUUAGUAAAGAACACAAUUACACAAAAUAAAUCUAGUCAAUAAUAUAUAAUAUAAUGUCCAUAUGUUUUGGCAUUCUCAUAUUGCAAUUCACAUUCUAUAGUAAUAAACUUUGCUUUUAUAACACUAAUACUCGUACUAUUCUCAAACCAUCACAUACAAACACUUAAUCAUUUGCCUUUUAUCACUCCUUUUCAUCAUUAGAAUUAAUCAAGGUAGAAAAAUCAACCCUUCACCAAGUCCCGUUACUCCCAACACAUACCAUAAGAAAAUACACAAUUUCAUACACUUAACAAGGGUUUAGAAAUUUCACUUGCCUCAAAUAGUCGAACAAUCGCUCUAGGAUUUAAGACUUGUCGUUUCGUUGAAAUUCCAAAUAAAUGCAAUCUACUCAAAUAUGUAAUCACCAUAAGAUUCCAAAACUAACAACACUCGGUGCUAUAUGUCUAGCUAAGACCCAAAAACUCAUUCAAAUAUAUAAUCAAGUUCCUAAUCUUGAAUUCUUGAUGUCAAUUGGCAUGUCAACUCUUAUAUUUCUAAAUUUCAAGUCUAGGGUUUAGUUACAAUUUCUUCAAUAUAAUAAUAUUCAUAUAAUACAAUAUAUUUAAUAUUUAAUUAUCUAUCUCAAUAUAUCAAAAUUUAAUUUAUUGAAAUUAUAGAAAAAAAUUGAAAUAAAAGUCAAAGUUACAAAUAAUUAAGCGUGUCAAUUCGCUGAACAACAACAAUUACCCAAACUCAAUUCACAUUCCUUAAAAUCUUCAAUAUCCUCACAAGCCAUCCUUACGUAAGCAAUAACCUCAAACCUUAUCCAUCAUUAGCCGAUAAUGGCUUAAGUCUCAUCUCCUCAAAUUGUCUGAAGAACUUACUGCAAAAUUCUAAAUUUCAUUCUCAAUUUUGUCGAAUUUUCCUUCCUAAUUCAUUCCACUUUACAGUUUCUCCCCUAAGUUAGAGAACAUGGCACCAAUAUAAAUAUAAUUUGUAAAUUUAUCACACAAUUCAACAAAAAUAAUAAUAAUCUAAUCUCUACCAUAUCAUUAUACUAUAACUAAUGUAGGCACAUACAAAAAUGGAAGGCCGGGGGAACUCUUACCUGCAACCCUUCGUGUCCUUUUGUUUAGUAUCCGAGGACACUUUUUCUUUAAAU